Molecule: long non-coding RNA, 168 nt
Organism: Helianthus annuus (common sunflower)
Lineage: Eukaryota; Viridiplantae; Streptophyta; Magnoliopsida; Asterales; Asteraceae
Exons: 3
Source: RefSeq, a predicted model, not a curated record
UGAUCCUCAUACUUAGUAGGUCACAAGGUGAUUUGGGUGGAUCAUCAAGUGGACAAGGCGGGUCGGAUAACCGCUUAAAAGGAAAGCUUUGAAAAGGUGAUGGUAGCGAAUUGCGGAUGAUGAUCAAGUACCCGAAAGGAUCGAACACACAAAUGUCAAAGCUUCCAC